This 375-nucleotide ribosomal RNA is filed under the name uncultured bacterium. Its description in RNAcentral is "bacterial SSU rRNA". It matches the Rfam family "Bacterial small subunit ribosomal RNA", at positions 524 to 898 of the family's 1533-position model. The record is from RNAcentral.
UACGGAGGGUGCAAGCGUUAAUCGGAAUUACUGGGCGUAAAGCGCACGCAGGCGGUCUGUCAAGUCGGAUGUGAAAUCCCCGGGCUCAACCUGGGAACUGCAUUCGAAACUGGCAGGCUAGAGUCUUGUAGAGGGGGGUAGAAUUCCAGGUGUAGCGGUGAAAUGCGUAGAGAUUAGGAAGAAUACCAGUGGCGAAGGCGCCUUUCUGGACUGUAACUGACACUGAGGCUCGAAAGCGUGGGGAGCAAACAGGAUUAGAUACCCUGGUAGUCCACGCUGUAAACGAUGUCGAUUUGGAGGUUGUGCCCUUGAGGCGUGGCUUCCGGAGCUAACGCGUUAAAUCGACCGCCUGGGGAGUACGGCCGCAAGGUUAAA